GAUGAACGCUGGCGGCGUGCCUAAUACAUGCAAGUCGAGCGAACAUAUGAGGAGCUUUCUCUUCUGACGUUAGCGGCGGGCGGGUGAGUAACACGUGGAUAACCGACCUAUAAGACUGGGAUAACGUCGGGAAACCGGAGCUAAUACCGGAUAAUAUAUUGUACCGCUUGGUUCAAUAGUGAAUGACGGUUUUGCUGUCACUUAUAGAUGGAUCCGCGCUGCAUUAGCUAGUUGGUAAGGUAACGGCUUACCAAGGCAACGAUGCGUAGCCGACCUGAGAGGGUGAUCGGCCACACUGGAACUGAGACACGGUCCAGACUCCUACGGGAGGCAGCAGUAGGGAAUCUUCGGCAAUGGGCGAAAGCCUGACCGAGCAACGCCGCGUGAGUGAAGAAGGUCUUCGGAUCGUAAAACUCUGUUAUUAGGGAAGAACAAAUGCGUAAGUAACUAAACGCGUCUUGACGGUACCUAAUCAGAAAGCCACGGCUAACUACGUG
This 497-nucleotide ribosomal RNA is filed under the name uncultured bacterium. RNAcentral describes it as "partial 16S ribosomal RNA". It matches the Rfam family "Bacterial small subunit ribosomal RNA", at positions 28 to 507 of the family's 1533-position model. The record is from RNAcentral.